AGUAUUAAUUAUGGCACUCAGAGUAGGCUUCAAUGAUCAAGUGAUAUUUAGGCAAGGACAGGAAGGCAGUGAGGAAGCAAGCCAAGUGGUUAUGUGGGGGAAGAGUGUAUCAGGUAGAGGAAACAGCUCAUGCAUAUCCCUAUGCUGGAACAAUGCCAGGCAUGUUUGCGAAGCAGCAAAGGCCAAUGGUUUGAGUGUCAUGAAGAAGGGGAAGAAUAGUUGAAACUAUGGCCAAAUCAUAAAAGCUUUACAGGAACUUUAUAGGCCAGGGGUUUAUUAGAACUUUGGCUUUUACUGUGAGUGAAAUUAAGGGCCAAUGGAGAAUUCUGAACAAAGGAAUUAUAUGAUCUGACUUGUGUUAAAAGGGUCAUUUUGGCUGCUUUACUGAGAAUAGAGGGCAAAGGUAGAAGAAAGAAGACUGGUUAAGAGGCUACCUGGAAAUCCAGUCAAGAUAUGAUGGUGACUUAGUAAGGCUUGCAGCUAUACAACACAUUUGUUUCAUUGCUUUCAAGUGCCAGUGCUGGAGGCUCUGAAUAAGUCCACGGGAGAACUUCAGUCACAGCAGCAAACAGGUCUACCGAGCAGAUAAGAUAACAUGCUUGGGAGACUGACAAUACGAGCUAUCCGUUUCUUUCACUAAGCCUUAUGAAAGUGGAGCCUCUGCUGAAGACUAAACACUUGGGCCUUUACCUACAGAAAUGGACAGAUG
Panthera uncia (snow leopard) is the source of this 709-nucleotide long non-coding RNA. RefSeq lists it as uncharacterized. The record is from RefSeq and is a predicted model, not a curated record. The transcript is spliced from 3 exons. NCBI's taxonomy places the organism in Eukaryota, Metazoa, Chordata, Mammalia, Carnivora, Felidae.